GAUGAACGCUGGCGGCGUGCCUAAUACAUGCAAGUCGAGCGAACAGACGAGGAGCUUGCUCCUCUGACGUUAGCGGCGGACGGGUGAGUAACACGUGGAUAACCUACCUAUAAGUCUGGGAUAACUUCGGGAAACCGGAGCUAAUACCGGAUAAUAUAUUGAACCGCAUGGUUCAAUAGUGAAAGACGGUUUUGCUGUCACUUAUAGAUGGAUCCGCGCCGCAUUAGCUAGUUGGUAAGGUAACGGCUUACCAAGGCUACGAUGCGUAGCCGACCUGAGAGGGUGAUCGGCCACACUGGAACUGAGACACGGUCCAGACUCCUACGGGAGGCAGCAGUAGGGAAUCUUCCGCAAUGGGCGAAAGCCUGACGGAGCAACGCCGCGUGAGUGAUGAAGGUCUUCGGAUCGUAAAACUCUGUUAUUAGGGAAGAACAAAUGUGUAAGUAACUAUGCACGUCUUGACGGUACCUAAUCAGAAAGCCACGGCUAACUACGUG
RNAcentral lists this ribosomal RNA (497 nucleotides) under uncultured bacterium. Its description in RNAcentral is "partial 16S ribosomal RNA". It matches the Rfam family "Bacterial small subunit ribosomal RNA", at positions 28 to 507 of the family's 1533-position model. The record is from RNAcentral.